Molecule: ribosomal RNA, 253 nt
Filed under: uncultured bacterium
Lineage: Bacteria
Description: partial 16S ribosomal RNA
Rfam family: Bacterial small subunit ribosomal RNA
Source: RNAcentral
UACAGAGGAUGCAAGCGUUAUCCGGAAUGAUUGGGCGUAAAGCGUCUGUAGGUGGCUUUUUAAGUCCGCCGUCAAAUCCCAGGGCUCAACUCUGGACAGGCGGUGGAAACUACCAAGCUGGAGUACGGUAGGGGCAGAGGGAAUUUCCGGUGGAGCGGUGAAAUGCGUAGAGAUCGGAAAGAACACCAACGGCGAAGGCGGCACCCUGGACCAGCACUGACACUGAGGCACGAAAGCGUGGGGAGCAAACAGG